CUUGCAUUCUCUUUGUUUCUAAUGGUUGGUUCCUCGCCCUAUUUUGAUGUUUUGUACUGCACGAAGUCUUCCCAGAAGGCCCUCAGCUUUACAUAUUGCUUGAGGUUGAAAUUUGGAGUCUCGUUUUUCUUGACAAAUUUAUUGUACAAAGACUUCUUCCAAUUCUGGAACAGUACCGCCAUCUUCUUCAUAGUCCAGUCAUAAAUUCACACCUUCAACUCUUCAUCGUUGGUGUCGAAGGUGAAAACGUCCGUGACGGCUUUCCAAACUAACUCCUUGUCACGAUCAGAGACAAAACUAAUUUCAGGAGCACCUCGCUUCUCUCACCAUUCACGAGCACUGAUCGGUAUUUGAUCUCUCACAAGGUAUCCACUGUGACUAACAUAUUUAUUUGCAUGUUCACCAAGUGGUCUGCCUGUAGCUAUCUUAAACUCGAUGAUUACAUAGCGGCCCUCCAAUGGCUUCUUUGGCCCUCGUGGAGGUACGCUUCUCCCUGUAGAGGUCGAUCCAGAAGGCUACACGUAGAUAUAGAAACAAAAAUACUAAAUUAAUAACCAAGUAAGUCUAAAACCUAAUGUAAGAGAUACAUUAUAUAUAUUUACAUUUACAUACCUCGCCGGUAUUUCCUUCUUGUUGCACGACAAGUUGUUGCUCAGACGCAUUGCCCUGUUGCUCAGGGGCAUUGUCCUCUUGUUGCUCAGUCGGAUUGCCUUGCAUGAUCUCGUUGUAAUCAAUAAAGUACUGACUACCGUCGUCGAUCAUAUUUUGAAUGGCAUCUUCCAUAUAUUCAGGAUCAUCGUG
This 801-nucleotide long non-coding RNA is filed under the name Sorghum bicolor (sorghum). RNAcentral describes it as "long non-coding RNA (SBIC_LNC009063)". Lineage: Eukaryota; Viridiplantae; Streptophyta; Magnoliopsida; Poales; Poaceae. The record is from RNAcentral.